Molecule: long non-coding RNA, 534 nt
Filed under: Piliocolobus tephrosceles (Ugandan red Colobus)
Lineage: Eukaryota; Metazoa; Chordata; Mammalia; Primates; Cercopithecidae
Description: lncRNA (ENSPTEG00000008289.1)
Source: RNAcentral
UAUGACAUAUAUAGAAUUAAAAAAAAACAUCAAAUAAUUUAUUUUCCCUUUUUUUUUUUUUGUGUUUUUCUUUUUUUUUAUUAGCCUAUACAUUUAUCUUCCAGGAUCAACUUAUUUUUAAGAAAUCAGAGCUGGAUCUUCAAUACAACAUUCCUGAAGAUAUGUUUUAUGAACCGAUAAAAAUAAAUACAUCAGAUGAAUUAGUUCAUACUUGCUGGCUCGUUAAAACACCUGAUACUAAUAAUAAAUCUGUAAUUCUUUUUUUUUCUGGAAAUGGAGGAUGUAAGUUAUUAAGCUUUCUAAUUUAUCUUGAAAUGUUACUUAUUGCUAAAUUGGUGACAUCAACAUAAUCACACCAUGUGUAUGUAUAUCAUUUAAGUUAUAUUGUAUGCUACCAUAAACUAUAUAUUAUAUUCACUUCAUGCAUGCAUGUAUGUUUUUUUUUUCGUUUUUUUGUUCUGUUAACACAUAUUUUUGUUUAAUUGUAUAAAUAUUUACAGAUAUACAGAAGUCUGCUAAUUUUUUUAAUGAGUU